UUGGGGAUUCAGUUCUACCACAAUCACAAACAACAGUUUCUUCAUAGCGAUCAACUUCAAUCUUCUCUUCCCAAAUCCCUAGCUUCUCCGAUCGCACACUUCGCUCAAUUUCCUUCAAUUCAUCAAGCUAAGCAUUCUUCUAUUCUUUCCUCUGUUUUAUUUCUUUCAUCUUCAUCAAUUUCGAAUUCAUAGACCUUGAAUUUAGACAAUUUUGAUACAUUUAAUAGAUCUAGGGUUUAACAUGUUACGCAUCAAUCUUCACUUGCAUUUAUCUUAUUCAUAUCAAUCUUCAUUUGUUUUUAUCUGUUUCGUUUCAAUUUAGAUCUGAAUUUUUUGUUGUGAUUAUCGCUUUAUUGUUCCAUUCAUAUAGAGAUGUUAAUUCUUAAAUACUAAUCAACGAGUAAUUAUAUUUAUACCAAUUCAGCAAUGCUUUUAAUAAUCAAUCUGUUUUACAUAAGGUUUUAUUUUACAUGAGAAUUCAUCACAAGUUUUCUAUUGGUAUAUCUGAAAUUGCAUCUGUUAUAUAGUUAAUCCAAAAUCCUAUUUAGUUGCCAAUCUCUAUUAAGUUUUUGACCUAAUUCGUUUGGGAUUUAGUUAGGUACAAUCUAAUGAUCUAACAUGAUAUUAAAGUUGACUAUUGAAUUGUGAUCUAUGGUUAGUUAGUGACUUAGUGAUUUGGCUUUUAAUAAGCUAAUAUUACCGAUAUCAGAAUUAAAAUCAAUGAUUAUAAAAGUAUAUUAAAAGCUGAGCAGUUGAUCGUAGAUUACGAAAGCUUUGGUAUUAGGUUUUUUGGGUCUAAUUAUGAAGAAAUUCGAUCUACAUUUAAAUGAAUCUGCAAUGCUUUUGUAAUGCUUUUAAUAAUCAAUCUGUUUUAUUGAUAGUUCUGUUACGUAGUUUUUAAGUUGGCAAUCUCCAUUAAGUUUUUGACCUAAUUCUUAUUGGAUUUAGUUAGCCCAAUCUAACAUGAUAUCAAAGUUGACUAUUGCAAGUUUGAUCUAUGAUUAGAGGUUUGGCUUUUAAUUAGCUAAUAUUACCGAUUUUAGAAGCAAAAUCAAUUAUGCUAGCAUGUUAAAAGCUGAGCAGUUGACCAUAGAUCACAAAAGCUUUGAUAUUUGUUUUUUGAGUCUAAUUAAAUGCCAUAAAAGCUGAUUUUGUGAUGUUGAAUUUGGUCCAAAAACCCAAGAAUCUGCCAAAUAAUUUCAAAGAGUUGCACAACAAUUUUAUUUAUACUUUAUUUGUUGAUUUAUCGCACUUUCUUUUACUCUAAAUAUUUUGUCACUAUUAAUAUAGCAAGUAAUCUGCACAAUUAGGCACAAAAACGAACGGUUUUAAUCACAUAUAUUAUUUUCAACAACCAUUGAGAAUAUACAUUAACUUGGAAAAGCAUUUUUAAAUAAUUUGUUUUAGGAUGCAUGUUUUUUGGAUAUAAUUUUAUAAUUUGCUAAAAGUUCAAACAAACAUGGGAAGUGAAGAUUCCGAACUUCACAUUCCUGGCGGGAAUAAAACUUGAAUCCAUGAUAUUGAGUGGAGUUUUCUUGAUAAGUGGUUCAGGGGAAAAGAAGUCUGUACAGUUCAGUCCCUUUUUAUUUCAUUGGCACAUGCAAUACUUUUUUCUUUUUUGUUUUUACAUGCUCAGAAAACUCCAUAAGGAGAUUUUCUACGCCAUCCAUCAUGGGACCCAAAAAUAGUUAAACUAGAUACUAUGGCUUAUGAUAUAUUAAAAAAUUGAUGCUAGUUUUUUUAGUACAACUACUAUAGAACCUAAUUAAAUUUGUAAUAGAAUUUAUAUAGCUGUUGAUAUUGGUAAGUUGAUACAGGAUUUCUAUUUUGAACCCGAUAUUUUUUCUGUUUUUGGGUGGGGGUGUUAUGAUUAUUUAUCUCCUUUUCAUAUUGGUGGUUUUCUUCUGUCCUUUUGUCUUUGAAAACUGUGUUUUAUAUCUGGAGAAUUUAGAGAAAUGUAUAAUAACUUAAUUUGUUCUGCCAGACAUUUGUUGCUUCCCCUGAGGAUACAAAGAUUGAUUUGAACCCUCAGAAAAUACGCUUUCUGCCCAUAUACCAGCGUUUCUUUGUAAUGAAGAUUCAUGGCUGGCAUAGCGUAUUCAGAAUCUAGGAUGUAUAUAGGCAUUUCAUUCUUGGUAAGUCUGUCGAUGGCAUUUCUUUCAUUUCUAUAGAGAAUACAUGGUUGUUAGAAAUAUAUUUUGAUUAUCUGCAAUGUAUGGAACUACUUUUAACUAUACUAUUUCUUACUGAAAUACUCUUGUCAUUAUCUCAGAAGGCUGAAAGGUCAUGAGUUUGAUAACGAAUUUUCAGUUUUUUGAAGUUAUUCUCUGUAAAAUCAUUAGUCUAUUAGGGUCCAUAACACUAUUCCUUGCAUUGAUCAUGAAUUCCCUGCUUUAUGUGAAAAGAAAUUAGACAUUCUCUUGGGCUUUUUUUGGGAUUUAUGAGGGGAAAGAAAGGGAGGGAAGUUUCCCUUGUUUGGGGGAAUGCUUUUGGAGGAGAGGGGAAAAGAAGGCUUAUGGGUAAUAUUUUGCUUGUUUUGAUGAGUGUUGUACAAAGAGGCUAAGAGGGAAAGGAUUUAGAGAUUUUUUUUACACCCUCUAAACUAUUCCCCCAAUUCAUUUUUUUCAAUUCCUCCAAAUUGGUGGUUUUGAAGAAAUAUAGACUCUCAUAAAAGGUAGGGAGCUAUCCUCCGUUCUUCCUCCCUUUCACCCCAAAAUCAUUCCCCCUCUUUCCUUCCUAAAUCCCAAACAAAGGCAAGGUCUUGCUCAUUAAGCCUCUAUGUCGGUAAUGGCAUGACUAGUAUAAUAAAAAAUAGGCCAUCAUCAUCCUAGAUGGGCCCACAAUGUGAGUCUGGAUGAACCAUUUUUAAGAAGUGUUGCCUGUUUGAUUCAUUACGUGCUGCAGUUAUGUGCCUCUCUAACAGUCAUUUAACCCCUUGACUAGUUUUAUUAGUUAUGCCACCUGAAUUAUUGAAAAAUAUUAGUAAAUAGCCCCUGAAGUUUUCCCCAAUCAAUCCUGUUAAUCCCUCAAUUAGUCUGUGUCAUUUUACUGCUUCUAAUUGUCAUGUUAGCACUCCAUCUCUAUGUGAAAUCAAGUCAGACCCUUUCUUCCUACAUGUUUGUUAUAUACAUAAAAAAAUACAUCAAAUUAAUCCUUACCAGAUCCUCUCUUUCUAAAUGGUUUUUUUUAACAGUAAAGCAUCUAUUAGAUUAGAAAAUAAUCAAAUUCAUUACAAACGAUAGGAUAAAUCUAGUGUGCGAGACUCCCCACCCCUGUUCCAGAACCUACUUGUUGCUUCAGACAAAGACACAUGCCUAUUAAAGGUGUAGUUUAAAUCAAGCUUGUAGGAAUUAAUGUAGUCCAUGUAGCACUUGAAAACAACCCUUGUAGCUAACUGUAACUAACUAACUAACUGGCAGGUGUCAGUUAGUUAUACUCUCCUAGCCUCCUUGAACACUGUUUGUAGCUUCCAUAAUAUCAAAACAAAAGAAAAUUAGGAUUUAUAAUUCAAUAGAUUGACUUGCAGUCUCCACGCAAACUUUUCCAUAACAUAGAUGAGUUACCUAUCCGUCACUGUUGGCGCUUUCGUCGUCUUGGUCGCAUUCGUCCUCUUUCUCUUCAAUUUCUGAGAAAUUGGACUCUGAAAAUUACCUCUUAUUUUGUCAACAGGUAGAACCUGUAUUGAAACUUUGCAAUAUUCCUUUCUCAAGUAAAAGUACUUCUGAGUUUUGCACUUGUUUGGGAAUAGAACUCAUGCGCAUAGGCUUCCCUCUCAUUCAUCCAUUACCAGAUACAGUCCCCCUCUAGAAUUAAUAUACAGUGGCCUGUGGGGCCCUGCUCCCUUUACCUCUACUACUGAAUUUAUAUAUUACAUUACCUUUGGUGAUGCAUUCAGUAGAUUUAAUUGGAUUUAUCUUCUCAAACAAAACAAAAAAACUGAUGCUUUUUCUAUCUUUCAACAAUUCAAAACCAUGGUUUAUCAGUUCUCAUAAAAUCAAAUAUGUCCAAACUGAUUAGGGUGGUGAAUUUCAACCAUUCACGAAAUUCCUAAACUAGUGUGGUAUUAUACACCAUCUUAUUUGUCCUCACUCCUCACCAAAAUGGUGUUGUUGAGCGAAAACACAGACAAAUUGUUGAACUUGGCGUUAUCUUACUUGCCCAGGCAGCUCUGCUCCUUGCCUAUUGGUAUUAUGCAUUUCUCACCAGUAUGUACCUCAUCAACAGACUUCCCACUUCAACUCUCAGUUUUGAAGUGUCUUACACCACACCCUUCAAAAAAUCAGCCUUACUGUUUUCCUUUGCUUGGGCCAUACAACAAUCAUAAGUUGCAAUUCAGGUCACAUAAGUUCUUUUUCCUUAUUCCACUUUCCAUAAAGGCCAUAAGUGCUUAUCCCAAGAUGACUGCAUUUAAAUCUCUAGGGAUGUAUUAUUUAAUUAUAACAUAGAUUCCCAUGCCUUGAAUUAUUUUCCUCAAAAUUAUUUCACCUCCUCAACCACUACCCCUGCUUCUAUCCCAACUGUACCCUCACUCUCUCCUUCUCCCAAGGCAACCAUUCCCAGCACUAUUAACUAUGGUUCUCCAGUUCAGUCUCUCAUUUACUCUCCCGAAGAGUUUUAUUUUUAAUUUUGAAAAGGUGUAAAAUCUGUCUGUUAAUAAAAAACUGCCUCUGUGCGAGAGGAACAGCACCUAAAGCACUGCAUGUAAGUUUUGUUCUAUUUUUUAUAUAGGAACAGUAUAUACCGUUGUAAUUAGUGUUGCUGAUUUUAUAUUGAUUUAUUUCAGAGUCUAUAUAAUAGAGUCUCCGUGGUGUAGUUGAGUCACAUGGUUUCACCAUAUGUUUUAAUCCGGCACACUUUGACUAUAUGAAUCUUCUGACUUAUCAAUGUUUACAACUUGGCCUGAAGUGCUCUGGCAGGUCCCAAGAAUAUUUAAAAUGGAGGCAGCCUCUUUCUAGUUGACCCUUACAAAUAACUGACUAUAACUACAAACUGCAAGUGUGAUAUUUGGGAUGCAUUCCAAGCCGCCUUAAUACCAUGGAUCUUUCCCAAUCCCACCUCUUUAUGAAUCAUACCAAACAAAACAUUAUCACACAAAAUAAACAAGUUAUGGGACAAAGGGUCACUUUGCCUCAGGCCAAACUCUGGUGAGAAACUUACUCGACUGCCCAUUGAUAAAGAUCUAACAGGAAACAGAAUGAUGCAUUUCGUGAUCACAUUCGUCAAGUGUUUUGGGAAACCCAUUGUGUCAUCCUCCUUUUCUUACCUUUGGUCUUCUUUAGCCAAUGGAAGCAUUCCAUUGCAAUCAAAGCAUUUUCGGUGGUGAGCCUUCCUUUAAUAAAGGCACAUUGUUCUUCAUCAACAAUCUCAGGAAUGAUUCCUUUUAGUUUAUGGGCUACAAUCAGUAACUGUCUUUAUGACCACAUUGCAAAGACUAGGCAAUGAAAGUUUUAUUUAUGCCUCUAGAGAAAUCCCCCUGUUAAGAAUAACUAAAACCGACUACUGAACCUCUUGGCCAACAAUAUUCCAGUACUUCGGAAGAAAAGGGUUGGGAGCCCAUUAUAGCCUUGGUACCUUGAGAAGAUGCAUAUGAUUAAGGUUCUCCUUAAUUCCUUCCUUUGGAAAAGUGGUUGCACAAGACUUUUGAUCCUCACUCCGUCUUCUCCUCACAGCAUCACGGGUCUAAUAUAACUCUGAUGAGAAAGAAGUGGAGAAAACAUAAGAGAAAUGGUUUCUCUUCCUACAUGGUUUCAUGAUUUCUCCUACUGAUUUCUGUUUUUAGGACUGCAAUUUGUGUUUUUUAUAUGACCCUAUCUCCCUACAUGGUUUCAUUAUUUUGGCUACUGGUUUCGGUUUUGGGAACUGGAACUUUUGUUUUCUAUCAGAGCCUAUCUUCCUACAUGGUUUCAUAAUUUUGGCUUCUGGUUCUUGUUUCUACGACUGCAACUUAUGUUUUUUAUAAGACCCUCUUUCUACAUGGUUUCAUAUUUUUACUUCUGGUUUGUGGUUCUGUUUUUAGGACUGCAAUUUCUGUUGUUACAAGUUUCUAGUUAGGACUGCUACUUCUUUUUUUUCUUUUUUAUGGUUUCAUGCUUUUAGACUUCUUAAAACAUGCUUCUAUUUUUACCAAUGGUUCUUUGCUCAGACUGGUUUCAAUGAUUUGCCAAUGGUUCAAAAUUGGGCAGCAUACAUGUAGAGUAUUUUGGUUAUCAACUUUGGUUUCAAUUAUAAGAUGCCUAAUAUAGUAUUAUUGGCAUGUAGAUUUUGACAUGUAGACAUGAAAUAUGCUGCAUAUUUAACAUGACUGAUUAACAUGACUGAUAUACUGCUGUUUUUAAUUCCGCAAUCUACGCAUUAGUGCUUUAUGCACAUGCAUAAUAUUACGCAGUCUGUUUUAUACGACCAUGCACAAACGAAGUGGCUGUGACAUGGUUGGUUAAAAAUUUGUUUGAGCUGAGAUGCCUACCAAAGAAUUAUGCAUCUGGUUUUCAAAUGUUAUAAGAUGCCUUAAUACAUAGGAUUGAUAGACAGCACUUGAAAUAUGCAAAAAAAAAUUUAUUAUACACAUGCAUAGUAUCAUGCAGUCGGUGGUGAUUUAUAUUACAGAUGCACCAAAUAAGUGGUUGGGUCAUGUUAAAAAUCUGUUUGGGCAGAGAUGUGUUAUUUUGUUUCAUACGGAAAAAUAUGAUUAGGG
Molecule: long non-coding RNA, 6691 nt
Filed under: Trifolium pratense (red clover)
Lineage: Eukaryota; Viridiplantae; Streptophyta; Magnoliopsida; Fabales; Fabaceae
Description: long non-coding RNA (TPRA_LNC012437)
Source: RNAcentral